Molecule: ribosomal RNA, 274 nt
Filed under: uncultured bacterium
Lineage: Bacteria
Description: partial 16S ribosomal RNA
Rfam family: Bacterial small subunit ribosomal RNA
Source: RNAcentral
AUACGGAGGGUGCAAGCGUUACUCGGAAUCACUGGGCGUAAAGCGCGCGCAGGCGGGCUGAUAAGUUGGAUGUGAAAGCCUACGGCUCAACCGUAGAACUGCAUCCAAAACUGUCAGUCUAGAGUGUGGGAGAGGAAGAUGGAAUUAGUUGUGUAGGGGUAAAAUCCGUAGAGAUAACUAGGAAUACCAAAAGCGAAGGCAAUCUUCUGGAACACUACUGACGCUGAGGCGCGAAGGCGUGGGGAGCAAACAGGAGUAGAUACCCUAGUAGUCC